RNAcentral lists this ribosomal RNA (681 nucleotides) under uncultured Curvibacter sp. Its description in RNAcentral is "bacterial SSU rRNA". It matches the Rfam family "Bacterial small subunit ribosomal RNA", at positions 94 to 765 of the family's 1533-position model. The record is from RNAcentral. Lineage: Bacteria; Pseudomonadati; Pseudomonadota; Betaproteobacteria; Burkholderiales; Comamonadaceae.
AGUGGCGAACGGGUGAGUAAAGUAUCGGAACGUGCCCAGUCGUGGGGGAUAACGUAGCGAAAGUUACGCUAAUACCGCAUACGAUCUAUGGAUGAAAGCGGGGGAUCGCAAGACCUCGUGCGAUUGGAGCGGCCGAUAUCAAAUUAGGUAGUUGGUGGGGUAAAGGCUCACCAAGCCGACGAUCUGUAGCUGGUCUGAGAGGACGACCAGCCACACUGGGACUGAGACACGGCCCACACUCCUACGGGAGGCAGCAGUGGGGAAUUUUGGACAAUGGGCGCAAGCCUGAUCCAGCCAUGCCGCGUGCAGGAUGAAGGCCUUCGGGUUGUAAACUGCUUUUGUACGGAACGAAAAGGUUUGGCCUAAUAAGCUGAGCUCAUGACGGUACCGCAAGAAUAAGCACCGGCUAACUACGUGCCAGCAGCCGCGGUAAUACGUAGGGUGCGAGCGUUAAUCGGAAUUACUGGGCGUAAAGCGUGCGCAGGCGGUUAUGUAAGACAGAUGUGAAAUCCCCGGGCUCAACCUGGGAACUGCAUUAGUGACUGCAUAGCUGGAGUACGGCAGAAGGGGGGAUGGAAUUUCCGCGUGUAGCAGUGAAAUGCGUAGAUAUGCGGAGGAACACCGAAUGGGCGAAGGCAAUCCCCUGCGUCCUGUACUGACGCUCAUGCACGAAAGCGUGGG